AAGCCUACAAGCUAGCUCACCCACCACCUCAACAACAAAUUCAAUAACCCCUAACCAACUUAAACCCUAUAAACAAACCAUUUUUCCCCCUGAGUACAGGAGAUAGAAAAGGAACAAGAAGCAACAGACAAAGUACCGCAAGGGAAAGCUGAAAGAGAAGUGAAACAAAUCACACAAGCCCACAAUAGCAGAGACUCCCCCUCGUACCUUUUGCAUCAUGAUUUAACAAGAAAACCUCAAGCAAAGAGCCCCAUAGUUUGAGACCCCGAAACUAAAGCGAGCUACUUCAAGACAGCCUAUCUCAGGGCCAACCCUUCUCUGUGGCAAAAGAGUGGGAAGAUCUUCAAGUAGAGGUGACAAGCCUACCGAGCCUAGUUAUAGCUGGUUGCCCGAGAAACGAAUAGAAGUUCAGCCCUCUAUCCCCCUCACCCAACAUGUAAACCCAACAAGACACAAGGGGUGAUAAAGGAGUAAAUCAAAGGAGGUACAGCUCCCUUGAAAAAGACACAACUUAUCUAAGAGGCCAAAGAUCAUA
Molecule: ribosomal RNA, 535 nt
Filed under: Speoplatyrhinus poulsoni (Alabama cavefish)
Lineage: Eukaryota; Metazoa; Chordata; Actinopteri; Percopsiformes; Amblyopsidae
Description: partial 16S ribosomal RNA
Rfam family: Bacterial large subunit ribosomal RNA (bases 187-535)
Source: RNAcentral